CCCAAGCGUCUAAUCCAGCCAUCAA
RNAcentral lists this unclassified non-coding RNA (25 nucleotides) under Mus musculus (house mouse). RNAcentral describes it as "oocyte_clustered_small_RNA3152". Lineage: Eukaryota; Metazoa; Chordata; Mammalia; Rodentia; Muridae. The record is from RNAcentral.